Podarcis lilfordi (Lilford's wall lizard) is the source of this 72-nucleotide non-coding RNA. Lineage: Eukaryota; Metazoa; Chordata; Lepidosauria; Squamata; Lacertidae. The record is from the annotation of a GenBank genome assembly.
UGCUAUCCCAAUUGGUAGAGCAUGAGACUCUUAUUCUCAUGGCCAUGGGUUCAAGACCUGCCUCGGGGAAAA